GGCUCUAACUUCAGUAGUGGCUGCAUGUGUCAGUGCAACCACAGUCUGGUCUAUGGUUGGGAGGUAAUGGAAACUUAGGAGGGACAUAACUGAAGGAGUGGGUCUUGGGGUAAGAUCUUGGGGACUGUAUUUUGUCCCUGGUCCCUUCCCCUCUAGCUCUUUCCCUUUCUCUGUGCCAUAAGCUAAGAAGCUUUCCUUUAGCUGUGAUGUUUCUGUCUUGGCACAGGCUAAAAACAAUGGAGCCGGCCAACCAUGGACUGAAUCCUCUGAAACCAUGUGACAGAAUAAGGCUUUCCCCCUUAACACCGGUGUAUGUCAGGUGGUCAAACUGUCCAGUGAAUAAGCAAAAUAUGGGAAAACCAAGCUGCAGGUCUAAAUGAAGACAGAUGAAAAUUACUAAUGAAUGUGGUAAAAUGAAUUAAUUUUGAAAAUAAAGAUUUAAGAAAAA
This is a long non-coding RNA of Chinchilla lanigera (long-tailed chinchilla), 448 nucleotides long. RefSeq lists it as uncharacterized. The transcript has 2 exons. The record is from RefSeq and is a predicted model, not a curated record. NCBI's taxonomy places the organism in Eukaryota, Metazoa, Chordata, Mammalia, Rodentia, Chinchillidae.